AAGGUCGAAGGAAGAAAUUCAUUCGUGUAUCGUUGUUGUCUGGACUGUGUAUGUUUGACGAUAAAUAAGUCAAAUCAUCAUCUGGUGAUUUUCGAUUUAUAUGUUGCUAUGUACAUGUCUGAUGUCAGAUAAUGAACGCGUGCAUUUUUCUUCUGGUAGGACGUUGCGAUCCGUUAGAAAUAUUUUCGAUCUAUGAUUUAUGGUUAAAGUUCAUUGAUACAUAUUUAUUUAUGUUAAUAUUGAUGAGUCUGUAUUAUCUGAUUGAUUUGUCUGACGGUAGAUGAAAGGUUUAAAGUCGCUAUUAUAUUAGCGUUAGGGGCUAGACAAAUAUGUAUAAUGUGUAAAGGCAUUAUUACUAUUUAUAGUGAUUGUGUUCUCGGUAAUCGGUAUUUAUAUCAAUUCCGGGCCGUUUAUGUAUUGUUAGUUUGGCAUAUCUCUGACAGACUUUAUUAUUUUAAAUAAAACCAAUCAGCAACGCUAUAGCUUUGGGUACCUUCAGGACCCGUCUUGAAACACGGACCAAGGAGUCUAGCAUUUACGCAAGCCAUUGGGAUUAAAAAACCUAUAGGCAAAAUGAAAGUGAAAAUCAAUUUAUCUUGUAUGAAUUGAAGGGAAGAUGAAUAAUAAUUUUUUUUAAAAAUUUUAUUUCGCAUUCCCGGGGCGUUUAUAUUUCGUUUGUUUGUUCUGCAUUCAAAUGAGAUUAUGCGCACCAAGAGUGUACACGCUGGGACCCGAAAGAUGGUGAACUAUGCCUGGUCAGGACGAAGUCAGGGGAAACCCUGAUGGAGGUCCGUAGCGAUUCUGACGUGCAAAUCGAUCGUCGGAAC
RNAcentral lists this ribosomal RNA (827 nucleotides) under Mesoplatypus sp. PlMes04. RNAcentral describes it as "eukaryotic LSU rRNA". The stretch from base 224 to 827 matches the Rfam family "Eukaryotic large subunit ribosomal RNA", at positions 1 to 911 of the family's 3401-position model. The record is from RNAcentral. Lineage: Eukaryota; Metazoa; Arthropoda; Insecta; Coleoptera; Curculionidae.